RNAcentral lists this ribosomal RNA (253 nucleotides) under uncultured bacterium. Its description in RNAcentral is "partial 16S ribosomal RNA". It matches the Rfam family "Bacterial small subunit ribosomal RNA", at positions 524 to 776 of the family's 1533-position model. The record is from RNAcentral.
UACGUAGGGUGCAAGCGUUGUCCGGAAUUAUUGGGCGUAAAGCGCUCGUAGGCGGUUUGUCGCGUCUGCUGUGAAAACCCGAGGCUCAACCUCGGGCCUGCAGUGGGUACGGGCAGACUAGAGUGCGGUAGGGGAGAUUGGAAUUCCUGGUGUAGCGGUGGAAUGCGCAGAUAUCAGGAGGAACACCAAUGGCGAAGGCAGAUCUCUGGGCCGUAACUGACGCUGAGGAGCGAAAGCAUGGGGAGCGAACAGG